This 401-nucleotide ribosomal RNA is filed under the name uncultured bacterium. RNAcentral describes it as "partial 16S ribosomal RNA". It matches the Rfam family "Bacterial small subunit ribosomal RNA", at positions 355 to 749 of the family's 1533-position model. The record is from RNAcentral.
UGGGGAAUCUUCCGCAAUGGACGAAAGUCUGACGGAGCAACGCCGCGUGUAUGACGAAGGCCUUCGGGUUGUAAAGUACUGUCUUUGGGGACGAACGGUAUCUAUGUAAAUAAUGCAGAUACAUGACGGUACCCAAGGAGGAAGCCCCGGCUAACUACGUGCCAGCAGCCGCGGUAAUACGUAGGGGGCGAGCGUUGUCCGGAAUCAUUGGGCGUAAAGGGCGCGUAGGCGGGUCAUUAAGUCUGGUGUGAAAGGGCAGGGGCUCAACCCCUGGAAGGCACCGGAACUGUUAUCUUGAGGCAGGAGAGGAAAGCGGAAUUCCACGUGUAGCGGUGAAAUGCGUAGAUAUGUGGAGGAACACCAGUGGCGAAGGCGGCUUUCUGGACUGUAACUGACGCUGA